This 943-nucleotide ribosomal RNA is filed under the name Phaeosphaeria ammophilae. Its description in RNAcentral is "SSU rRNA". It matches the Rfam family "Eukaryotic small subunit ribosomal RNA", at positions 117 to 1070 of the family's 1831-position model. Lineage: Eukaryota; Fungi; Ascomycota; Dothideomycetes; Pleosporales; Phaeosphaeriaceae. The record is from RNAcentral.
UUAUUUGAUAGUACCUUACUACUUGGAUAACCGUGGUAAUUCUAGAGCUAAUACAUGCUAAAAACCCCGACUCACGAAGGGGUGUAUUUAUUAGAUAAAAAACCAACGCCCUUCGGGGCUUCUUGGUGAUUCAUGAUAACUUUACGGAUCGCAUGGCCUUGCGCCGGCGACGGUUCAUUCAAAUUUCUGCCCUAUCAACUUUCGAUGGUAAGGUAUUGGCUUACCAUGGUUUCAACGGGUAACGGGGAAUUAGGGUUCGAUUCCGGAGAGGGAGCCUGAGAAACGGCUACCACAUCCAAGGAAGGCAGCAGGCGCGCAAAUUACCCAAUCCCGACACGGGGAGGUAGUGACAAUAAAUACUGAUACAGGGCUCUUUUGGGUCUUGUAAUUGGAAUGAGUACAAUUUAAACCUCUUAACGAGGAACAAUUGGAGGGCAAGUCUGGUGCCAGCAGCCGCGGUAAUUCCAGCUCCAAUAGCGUAUAUUAAAGUUGUUGCAGUUAAAAAGCUCGUAGUUGAAACUUGGGUCUGGCUGGCAGGUCCGCCUCACCGCGUGUACUUGUCCGGCCGGGCCUUCCUUCUGGAGAACCUCAUGCCCUUCACUGGGCGUGUUGGGGACCAGGACUUUUACUUUGAAAAAAUUAGAGUGUUCAAAGCAGGCCUUUGCUCGAAUACGUUAGCAUGGAAUAAUAGAAUAGGACGUGCGGUCCUAUUUUGUUGGUUUCUAGGACCGCCGUAAUGAUUAAUAGGGACAGUCGGGGGCAUCAGUAUUCAAUUGUCAGAGGUGAAAUUCUUGGAUUUAUUGAAGACUAACUACUGCGAAAGCAUUUGCCAAGGAUGUUUUCAUUAAUCAGUGAACGAAAGUUAGGGGAUCGAAGACGAUCAGAUACCGUCGUAGUCUUAACCGUAAACUAUGCCGACUAGGGAUCGGGCGAUGUUCUUUUU